ACUAACCAAAUUGAUCAUUUCUGGGAUAACUUAGAAGAAUGGGCUGUACCUUCACCACCUCAUAAUUGCUUCCCUUGCCUUGAGGAAAUAAGGAUCCACUGGUGCAGUAAUUUGACAUCUAUUCCAGAUUUACGAUUAUGGACUGCUCUCCCCUUUGUUCAAUACCUAUGGGUUGAUCCUGAUUUUGGUGAUUGUGAUGAUGAUGAUUCCAAUAAUUAGACGAGGGUGUAGAAGUAAAUCAGCUAGCCCUGCUAAAGUUCGCAUUAGCAAACAACAAACUUCAACAGGAUUCAAUUUGGAAUUGCAACGGAGCCAUCUAUAGAACACAUAUCCAGCACGUUAUUAGUUUUCGUUAAAAGCUUUCCUACAGUCUACAGAGAUAAAAAAAAACUACAUUUGUAUCGAGAAGUAAGGGGCUCACCGGAAGAGUUGAUUAAUUGGAGAUUUGAUUGGGUGAUGAGGGAUUGUGAGAGGUUGAGUAUGUGGGAGCUUGAGGAUGGCAAUUGGUUGAAUAUAUGAUUUGCCCCUCAGCAGGUGCUGGUGGUUGUGGUUUCAACCUAGUUGGGAU
Molecule: long non-coding RNA, 568 nt
Organism: Papaver somniferum (opium poppy)
Lineage: Eukaryota; Viridiplantae; Streptophyta; Magnoliopsida; Ranunculales; Papaveraceae
Exons: 3
Source: RefSeq, a predicted model, not a curated record